This 784-nucleotide ribosomal RNA is filed under the name uncultured Actinomycetes bacterium. Its description in RNAcentral is "bacterial SSU rRNA". It matches the Rfam family "Bacterial small subunit ribosomal RNA", at positions 734 to 1513 of the family's 1533-position model. Lineage: Bacteria; Bacillati; Actinomycetota; Actinomycetes. The record is from RNAcentral.
CCUUUCCUGACGCUGAGGAGCGAAAGCGUGGGAGCGAACAGGCUUAGAUACCCUGGUAGUCCACGCUGUAAACGGUGGGUACUAGGUGUGGGGUCCAUUCCACCGGUUCCCGUGCCGUAGCUAACGCUUUAAGUACCCCGCCUGGGGAGUACGGCCGCAAGGCUAAAACUCAAAGGAAUUGACGGGGCCCCGCACAAGCGGCGGAGCAUGCGGAUUAAUUCGAUGCAACGCGUAGAACCUUACCUGGGUUUGACAUGGAUCGGGAGUGCUCAGAGAUGGGUGUGCCUCUUUUGGGGUCGGUUCACAGGUGGUGCAUGGCUGUCGUCAGCUCGUGUCGUGAGAUGUUGGGUUAAGUCCCGCAACGAGCGCAACCCUUGUUCACUGUUGCCAGCACGUUAUGGUGGGGACUCAGUGGAGACCGCCGGGGUCAACUCGGAGGAAGGUGGGGAUGACGUCAAGUCAUCAUGCCCCUUAUGUCCAGGGCUUCACGCAUGCUACAAUGGCUGGUACAGAGAGUGGCGAGCCUGUGAGGGUGAGCGAAUCUCGGAAAGCCGGUCUCAGUUCGGAUUGGGGUCUGCAACUCGACCUCAUGAAGUCGGAGUCGCUAGUAAUCGCAGAUCAGCAACGCUGCGGUGAAUACGUUCCCGGGGCUUGUACACACCGCCCGUCAAGUCAUGAAAGUUGGUAACACCCGAAGCCGGUGGCCUAACCGUUGUGGGGGAGCCGUCGAAGGUGGGACUGGUGAUUAGGACUAAGUCGUAACAAGGUAGCCGUACCGGAAGGU